CUGAUUGUGAGAUGUAGGAGGCGAAGGGCGGAUCUAAUGCAGGUAAAAACAAAGAUGGCAGACAAUGCAAGUUCACUCACAGCCUGUGGGGAAGAGGACACGUGUUUGACCGAGGAACACGGGAAUGGACUCAGGAAAUCGUGAACUGCGUCAUGUGUGUUCGAACUCCAUCUGUUCAGAGACUUGGUGCAUUCUGAACAUAACUGCAAUGUUCUGCAUAUCCAGAGGUGUUACAAGGAUCGAGCAGUGGCUUCACUACUGAAAAAUAUCUGACUGCUGCACUGCUGCCGCUGCUGCUGCACAAUUCUUCACCCAUGGCUUCACACAGAUCAAAUUUAACAUGAUUUUCAUAUUGUCUGAUUUCUAUCUCUUUGAGGAGUGGAACGAAUACACGUCGACACAAGCCAGUUCAUCUGUUUGAACGAUCUACGGCGGCUGCCUAGAACAUAUUGCUCAAUGCAUGCUAAAACUGGCUUCGAGAUUAUGAUUAAAAUCCAAUAUUGUGCAUGUUUCCCAUGUUAAAUUUGCAGAAUAACAAUUUUAGAUCUUGAAUUGGCAGCAGAUAAUACAAAUGCAGCCUGUGGGGAAAUAGAGCCAUUUGCUCAGGAAUAGUGCAGGCAGCUCCAGGGUAUGGAACAAAUAUGUGUUUGAAGCUUUUAUAUUUCUGCGCAUGGGUUUGAACAGUAGUGUUACGGGCUAUGAGGAUGCACCGGAGUUCAAACCUUCAAGGUGAAAGCGGGUUUCCGCUCCAAAGUAAAGGCAAAACUGUUCAAACCUAGCAAGGAGGC
RNAcentral lists this long non-coding RNA (788 nucleotides) under Betta splendens (Siamese fighting fish). Its description in RNAcentral is "lncRNA (ENSBSLG00000025898.1)". Lineage: Eukaryota; Metazoa; Chordata; Actinopteri; Anabantiformes; Osphronemidae. The record is from RNAcentral.